Molecule: microRNA precursor, 60 nt
Filed under: Branchiostoma lanceolatum (amphioxus)
Lineage: Eukaryota; Metazoa; Chordata; Leptocardii; Amphioxiformes; Branchiostomatidae
Description: Bla-Mir-10-P9_pre stem-loop
Source: RNAcentral
UACCCUGUAGAUCCGGACUUGUGAUCAGUAUAACAGCACAAAUCCGAUUUACAGGUUAGG